CCGGCGGCGGCGUUUAUGUUUCGAAACUUCUCCGUUUAAUUCUCUGAUUUAACCUCUUUUUCGUGCAUGAAGACAACUUUUGGAUGGUUUGAGAUAAAAAGCAGGUAUGCCAGGGAAAUGGACAACCUGCAAAAAUAAAUUGCGGCCAUUUUGAAAAGACCCUGCUCACAGGCAAGCAUCAGCAUUGAAGACACACGCUUCAAAGGCAGGCUGGAAGACAACAAUAGGCCAGGAUGUUGGCGUCAGACUGCAACGUUAACAACUGUUCGGGGAGACUGGAGCCAGAUCUCUGCCCUUCUGAAAACCAAAAGCCAUGUGUAGAUGACAAGAGAGGCGAGUAAUGACAUUACAGAGCUAGAUCAGCAAGUCAUGAUGUUCACACCAUUGACAGCACCAGAAGGGAACAUAGGAAUGACAGAGCAAGGACAGUAGAUAUGAGCAAGGACAGUAGAUAUAUCUACAACCAUUCUGAUAUCGGACUUCCACAAGGGCGUGGUCGUCUUUGGAGCACCAUUUGCACACUUGUGGCGAAAAACCUGAGGGCGAGAACAAAGCAGGCAAUGCUGGUUUGAAAGCCUGUUUCAAGAUCAGAGGGCAUGGAUGUCCUGACGCUAUCUAAGAGAGACCCGUCGCCAUACUACAUCAGAAAGACAAAGCAGUUUGGUUUGGCAAGGCUAAGUAUCAGCUGAAAAACUGUCAAAAAGGGGGGAACCUAUCUGCCUCCUGGACAUGGAGUUAUAUGCGCAUUUGUUUAAAUUCACUCCACUGUAGAUACACAGUUUAGAAUGAUGCCUUACCUGUGAUCGGGCCAGAAUCUGUGUCUAAACAGAAUGCCCUCUACCAAAAAGGCAGAAAAUAUGAUGGAAUACCUGAUCCAGCAGAAUGAGGAAGCAAGUCCUGCCUGAUCUGCCCAAAGAACUUCUCAGUGCUGUUUCUAAAACCACCUGUCUUUUUUGGUAGAAGAAGUCAUCAAAAUCUAAAAAUGUGCAAGAUGAGAUCAUUGAAAGACAUUUCACAGUAUUACAAAGUUAAUGUCUUUUUCUUUUACUCACAAUCAGUCCUUGUCAUUAUUUCAGCUAUGGUCCACCAGUUGGGUCCUCUGAGAUGGUACACUACUACAUGUGGAGAACAUUGUGAGCAUGAAGAUUAUCGUGAAGGACUGUGAGGCACAAAAAAUACAUGGUGGACCUUUACUUUUUCAGCAGAUGGGGACUUGUUUUCUAUGUAGGCCUAAAAGUUGAUAAGUUAUCUCCAGAUUCUGCAGGAUGGUGCUUUAACUUCUCAGUGAACCUGAACACCAUUAUUUCUCCUGGAUGUAGAGAAUAAAUGUACAUGUAAUUAGAUUUCUCGUAGUUAUUAGAGUUAGUUUUCAUGUACAAGGAUACAGACACAGAUGUUGAUCAACAGUGGUCCUUCUGAGAGGCAAAACAGCAAUGUACUGGGAUUCCAGCCACUGUAGCUCAGGUAGUGUUAGUGACCCAUUUUUUUUUCGGUUUAAAAAAGCCAUCAUGAUCAACUGCAUUGAUCCCUCAAAAGAUUGUUGGACUGGCUGAAUUAAAUGUAAAAAAGAUAUCCAACACCUGGUAUUCUAUAAGUUGCUGUAGCUUAGCUCAGUGGAGUGACCUUUUUGUUUUCACUUUUAAAAACAUAUGCAAUUUGCCGCACUGAAGGUCCCUCCAGAGAUUGUUGGACUGGGUCCAAUGAAUGUGACAAAAAUAUCCAACACCUAUUUACAAAUGAAGUGAGGGGGUCAGCCUUUUGGUGUAACUCCAUAUAACUGUCUGGUGAUUUCGCUCUGGGCUUGUGACAUUCUGAUCGGUCUGAAAUAAUCAUUACUGCCCAUCCCUCAAUUUGAGGCCUGUGUCCCGAUGGUGGAGCUGAAUGGCGAAAUCAAAGGGGCAUGACGGCGGUUAAACCUAUUGCGAAUGGGCAGCAUCACAACCAGUUCUGAGAUCUGGGGGUGGUGUAGGAUAUUCGGUAACCACGCACACAUCUCCUGAAUGUGCGGUGGGUUGGUACCCCACGCUACGUAAGGGGAGGUUCUGGGUAAGACUUGGUCCACGUGAAUAGGUUGUACCUGAAAGAUGAGAAGUUGCGAAUGGACGCCCUGUGAAUAUGUCCUUCGACCAGCUAGUGCUAACCCGGUCACUGUCUCCAGGUCACCAUGCCUCGGUCAAUGAGCGGGCGAAGAACCCAAUGGCUCCGUCAGGA
Long non-coding RNA from Lineus longissimus, 2211 nucleotides. RefSeq lists it as uncharacterized. The transcript has 5 exons. The record is from RefSeq and is a predicted model, not a curated record. NCBI's taxonomy places the organism in Eukaryota, Metazoa, Nemertea, Pilidiophora, Heteronemertea, Lineidae.